ACAUGCUUUCAUAUAAAAUUCUUCCAGAUUAGAGUGAAGUGUCAUGGAGUUUAGAACCUGCACUUAAGUCUUAAGUAAUUGAAAGACAAAAUAAUUAAGUCAAGCACUAUUCCUCCUGUCUAUACUUCACCUUUGUUCCAGAGUUUUUCAUAAGUUUUCAAAAUAAAACUCAGAGUUCCCAGCAAUGAUUCUCUCAAGUCUCUCUAUAUGUGGUAUUUGUGGAUCCUUACCAAAAUAUCACUUACCUAUAGCUAAUAGAAUAUUUAAGUGGAGCUCGUAGGAGUUUAAAACAACUCAUACAUAUGUUGUCUAAUCGAGCCAUGGAUCCAAAGGAACUCAGCAUAUAAUUAAAUCAAGAUGUGCAUGUGUGGUGGAGUAAAUGAUAGUGAUGAUAAAAAUGUAUAAGUGAUGAUAAAGCUUACUUCUCAUUGCUCCUCAUAUUGCUACCUCUUCUCUUCUUUGAUCUUUGCUUUGGGAGAACAUGGGCUAUCUCUUUUUUUCUUCUCUUUUUUUUCAGAUGGGUAGUAGAUACCCCUAAUUCUACUGUCGGACACUUGUCCAUUUUUUCCGCUCAAGUGGGCAUCUUUGUACCCCUAAUUCUACUUCGGACACUUGUCCAUUUUUUACCUCGUCUCACUCUUUUUCUUUCUUUUUCGAGGUUCCGGGCACUUGCCCCUUUUUAUUUCCUCGCAUAUUUUUGCAUAACCCAUGCCUCUUCCGCAUUAAAUCUUUUUAGAGAGAGAAUAACAAUACUUGGGACAGUGAGUGAUAAUAUUUUUAGUAAUUUUAAUAAAUGGUGGUGGAUGGUGUGGUAGAUGUGUGCAAGUGAAUAUCUUAAUUUAACCACAUGAAAAGCUCCUAAGGGUCUACACAGCUCGAUCAAACUCAAUGUGAGUGUAGUAAAAGAUGUUAUAGCGAGCAUGGCUGUGGUAGGUAGUUUGUAAUGCUAGGAACUCAUCAUGUGCUUUGUAAGUUUUCAAAAUAAAUCUCCAGAACUUAGUGUAGUAGGAACAAGAUAAACAGCAGCUCAAACUUUAUAUUAUGCCUUUCUCUUACCUAGACUUUAGUUUUAUGCUUUCCAUAGACAGUAAUUUCAGUUUUAGUAAUUCCUGGAAGAACUCUAAUAUAAAAGCUAGGUACUUGAAAGUAAGCAAACAGAGAAACUAUUCAUCAUUUCCAUCAUGCAUUUUUUUUGGUCUUUUUAUUUUUCUAGAGAUUAACAAUCAGCAGAUAAAUAAAGCACACUUAUCUACACACUCUUUUUAUUUUGUUUUCAUGUUUAUAAAAUGCAGUGAAUUAAAGCAAGAAAAUAUUUAUUGGGUUUUAUAAGUUUUUCUCUUAAGAUAAAAUACUAAAAUAGAAAAGAAUAAAUAAGAAGAGCAAAUAAAAACUUACUUGAUAAAUUGGGGAGGAACUCCCCCAAGCUGGAUGUUGAUGUCAGUCUUACCCGAUGUUCCAGAACCGCAUCAUGGUUGUGAUGUUGUCGUUCAUUGUUAUUGUAUCUUGUCUCAGCUCUUGUACUGCAGUGACGUGGUCCUGGUUCCAUUUUUGUUGCUCUUCCAGGAGUCGUCCAUGUUCUGCUUACGUGUUCUGGAUGUCGAGGAGAGUGUUGUCGGUACGGGUGAAGAAAGCACCGGCCUCUUGAUAGUAGUCAUUCGUGAAAGCGUAGGAGGCGUCGGAGUAUCGUCCUGCAUCAAAUUGGGGCGGAGGUCUGG
RNAcentral lists this long non-coding RNA (1715 nucleotides) under Sorghum bicolor (sorghum). RNAcentral describes it as "long non-coding RNA (SBIC_LNC011008)". Lineage: Eukaryota; Viridiplantae; Streptophyta; Magnoliopsida; Poales; Poaceae. The record is from RNAcentral.